Molecule: ribosomal RNA, 394 nt
Filed under: uncultured Actinomycetes bacterium
Lineage: Bacteria; Bacillati; Actinomycetota; Actinomycetes
Description: bacterial SSU rRNA
Rfam family: Bacterial small subunit ribosomal RNA
Source: RNAcentral
AACGCGAAGAACCUUACCUACCCUUGACAUGUGGAAGGCUGCUGAAAGGCGGCUGUGCCCGAAAGGGAACCGGAACACAGGUGGUGCAUGGCUGGAGCGUGGUGAGAUGUUGGGUUAAGCCGCAACGAGCGCAACCCCUGGCAUGUUGCCAGCAUUUAGUUGGGGACAUGCGAGACUGCCGGUGACAAACCGGAGGAAGGUGGGGAUGACGAAGAAUGCCCCUUAUGCAGGGCUACACACGUGCUACAUUGGCCGGUACAGAGGGCUGCGAUACCGCGAGGUGGAGCGAACCAAAAAGCCGGCCGGUGGAUUGGAGGCUGAAACGCCCAUGAAGGCGGAGUUGCUAGUAACCAGAAGCAACGCCGGGGUGAAUACGUCCGGGUUGUACACACCG